CACAGCCCGUCCCAAGAUUAGUAUUUUCUUAAGUGUGAACUUAGUUAAAUUACCCUAGUUUUAAAGUUAGAUGGACUUUGAGGUUUUGGAGGUUUGUGAUGAAUGAUUGAGGACUUAGACCCUACACACUCACGGAUCCAAGUCAUUUCCCAUUCUCCGUGAAUUGCUCUACCUUUCAAACCUGUCAAGCACUUUCUCUCUCUCAUCCGUGUACCACUCCCUCUCUCUCUAUUCCCUCGACAAGUUUCACUCACCCUCAUUCUCUCUCAAUACACGGACAACACUCGAAAACCUUCAAACCUUUACAGAUCGAGAUCAUGGAGAGUACGGUGGUGUUCCUGAGGUCCUUAUGAUUUUAACCACAUAGCUUUCAAGUCCUGGAACCUUCGAAAACCCGAGAAAAGCCGUAACCCGAUUUGAGUACACAAUCACUUCGACGUGAUCUUGGAAGUUUCAAGCCAGUUUAAGACUCCCAAAGGAUCAUAGGGAGCUUUAGAAUGUUCUCACGAUGCUCGGAGUGCAUCGUUGGUAAGAAAAGGAUCACGGGAAGCUCAGUUACGAAGUUUUACAGAGGUCGCCGGAGUUUCAAAGUUCCCCGACGUAAUUUCAUGCAAUUUGAAGUUUCAAACAGGCGGCGAUCGUCGUGACGCCUUGAUGUGUGGUGCUAGGGAGUUGUUGGACGAACUCCAGGU
Malus domestica (apple) is the source of this 692-nucleotide non-coding RNA. The record is from RefSeq and is a predicted model, not a curated record. NCBI's taxonomy places the organism in Eukaryota, Viridiplantae, Streptophyta, Magnoliopsida, Rosales, Rosaceae.